Molecule: transfer RNA, 90 nt
Filed under: bacterium
Lineage: Bacteria
Also listed under: 3 other names
Description: tRNA-Ser
Rfam family: tRNA
About the family: Transfer RNA (tRNA) molecules are approximately 80 nucleotides in length.
Source: RNAcentral
GGAGGGGUGCACCGAACUGGCUAAGGGGCCGGUCUCGAAAACCGGUGGCCCUCGCGGGCCUUGUGGGUUCGAGUCCCACCCCCUCCGCCA